UACGAAGGGGGCUAGCGUUGCUCGGAAUCACUGGGCGUAAAGGGCGCGUAGGCGGCCUUGUAAGUUGGGGGUGAAAGCCCGUGGCUCAACCACGGAAUUGCCUUCGAUACUGCUUGGCUUGAGUGUGGUAGAGGUUGGUGGAACUGCGAGUGUAGAGGUGAAAUUCGUAGAUAUUCGCAAGAACACCGGUGGCGAAGGCGGCCAACUGGACCAUCACUGACGCUGAGGCGCGAAAGCGUGGGGGAGCAAACAGGAUUAGAUACCCUGGUAGUCCACGCCGUAAACGAUGAAUGCCAGCUGUUGGGAUGCUUGCAUCUCAGUGGCGCAGCUAACGCUUUGAGCAUUCAGCCUGGGGAGUACGGUCGCAAGAUUAAAACUCAA
Molecule: ribosomal RNA, 381 nt
Filed under: uncultured bacterium
Lineage: Bacteria
Description: bacterial SSU rRNA
Rfam family: Bacterial small subunit ribosomal RNA
Source: RNAcentral